RNAcentral lists this long non-coding RNA (981 nucleotides) under Lactuca sativa (garden lettuce). Its description in RNAcentral is "long non-coding RNA (LSAT_LNC004210)". The record is from RNAcentral. Lineage: Eukaryota; Viridiplantae; Streptophyta; Magnoliopsida; Asterales; Asteraceae.
AAAUAUGAAACCUAAUCGAAGUUUUCCAAAUAGUUUAUGCAAAUUUCCGUGCCAAAGAAUGGAGGAGUGACUUUAUAGGAAGUUUGUUUUUGUGUUCAGCAGAAAUGAAAAGAAAAAAGUGACCAUAUAUGUUGAAGGGGAAUACCUUGUACGUUCUGACAUCUGUGAGCGUCGCCUAAAAAAGACGUCUUUUUCUCUCCUUCUUACAUCGAGUCUGCUUCUUUCCAUAAAACUUCCAUCUCUCUUCUCUUUAGCAUCGCCGUUCUACCCUUCCAUAUCCAUCGUUGCCCCAACGUUCCAUCAGCGCUUCACCUCCACCCUCCUUUAGGCGGUCCAUCGGUUGCUGGUUCGCCGUCCUCCCGUGUAACACCACAUUUAGGCAUCCUCUUCUCGGUCUUCUCGGUUUUCGGAAAUUACCUGCACAAGACCUUUGAAAUUACUUGAUGAAUCUGGAUUUUGAUGUAUCGAUUCCAACGAAUACUGCUUAAUUUUGAUCUAGUUGAGAUUUCAGCAUUAGGGAAGUGAAUGUCUCUAUUCUCGUUCACGAAGGUGAAACCCCCAAAACUGAAUUAGACCCUCCUUUUUUCCCGAUAGAUGUAUGUAAUUUUGUAAUUUGUUGCAAAUCAGAAGAUAUGAAUGUAACAUCCCUAUACAAUUGUAGAAGAAAAAUUGUAUCAGUAAACAAAAGGCAUCUCCUAUGGUAACCAAAAUCGAAAUUGCAUCGUAGUUUAUUCUUAUUACAUCAUUUUACUCCCAAUCUUCUACAUUUCAGCUUCCUUUUCCAUUGAUGGAUUAUUAUUUUUUUUAAUUUUUGAGUUUAAAAUGUUUUGAAUUCUGAUCAGGUUUGUUCUCUCAUUGAACCCUUGUGGGUGAUGAAUGUGGUUCCUGUUAAUGGUUAUCAACCGAGUUAUCAGCCCAUAAAGUGUUUUGAAGUCUGAUCAUGUUUGCAACUGUUUUUAGAGUUUAUGUUCAAAGUUGAAA